Molecule: ribosomal RNA, 465 nt
Filed under: Vreelandella stevensii
Lineage: Bacteria; Pseudomonadati; Pseudomonadota; Gammaproteobacteria; Oceanospirillales; Halomonadaceae
Description: partial 16S ribosomal RNA
Rfam family: Bacterial small subunit ribosomal RNA
Source: RNAcentral
CCUACGGGGGGCUGCAGUGGGGAAUAUUGGACAAUGGGCGAAAGCCUGAUCCAGCCAUGCCGCGUGUGUGAAGAAGGCCUUCGGGUUGUAAAGCACUUUCAGUGGGGAAGAAAGCCUUGGGGCUAAUACCCUCGAGGAAGGACAUCACCCACAGAAGAAGCACCGGCUAACUCCGUGCCAGCAGCCGCGGUAAUACGGAGGGUGCGAGCGUUAAUCGGAAUUACUGGGCGUAAAGCGCGCGUAGGCGGUCUGAUAAGCCGGUUGUGAAAGCCCCGGGCUCAACCUGGGAACGGCAUCCGGGACUGUCAGGCUAGAGUGCAGGAGAGGAAGGUAGAAUUCCCGGUGUAGAGGUGAAAUGCGUAGAGAUCGGGAGGAAUACCAGUGGCGAAGGCGGCCUUCUGGACUGACACUGACGCUGAGGUGCGAAAGCGUGGGUAGCAAACAGGAUUAGAUACCCCGGUAGUC